RNAcentral lists this ribosomal RNA (256 nucleotides) under uncultured bacterium. RNAcentral's name for it is "partial 16S ribosomal RNA". It matches the Rfam family "Bacterial small subunit ribosomal RNA", at positions 524 to 776 of the family's 1533-position model. The record is from RNAcentral.
UACGUAGGGUGCAAGCGUUAUCCGGAAUUAUUGGGCGUAAAGAGCUCGUAGGCGGUUUGUCGCGUCUGCUGUGAAAACUGGAGGCUCAACCUCCAGCCUGCAGUGGGUACGGGCAGACUAGAGUGUGGUAGGGGAGACUGGAAUUCCUGGUGUAGCGGUGAAAUGCGCAGAUAUCAGGAGGAAUACCAGUGGCGAAAGCGGCACCCUAGCAUUUUUCUGACCGCUCGAUGAUGCGAAAGCGUGGGGAGCGAACGGG